UGCCAAGGGGUGUAAACAUGUAUAUAUAGGCCCCAAAAACCUUAGAGAAUCAGGUUAGGCUAGGGAGAAUGCAAGGCAAAGAGUGUAUGUGGUGUGCAAUGGUCCAAGGGUGAAAAUGAAGUGAUGAUGCAAAGUGUGAAGGGUAAAAUGGAGUGGUCUUGUAGCUAGGCGGCAUGAAUGAUUGUGUACAUUGCAUAGAGAUGGAAAGGGAGGUGAAAAUGUGUCAAUAAAUGGGUCAAAUGUGCAGUAACAUGUGGUACACAAGGCAUGGGAUUCCAAAUGUGAAUGAUGGAGCAUCAAUUGGCACAUGUUAUGGUUGUGAAAGUUGUAUAAAAUUUUGUGGGUGAAGGGAACAAGAGGUAUCAAGCAAUUAAGU
Molecule: long non-coding RNA, 376 nt
Filed under: Malus domestica (apple)
Lineage: Eukaryota; Viridiplantae; Streptophyta; Magnoliopsida; Rosales; Rosaceae
Description: long non-coding RNA (MDOM_LNC018282)
Source: RNAcentral